Molecule: long non-coding RNA, 1411 nt
Organism: Dromaius novaehollandiae (emu)
Lineage: Eukaryota; Metazoa; Chordata; Aves; Casuariiformes; Dromaiidae
Exons: 3
Source: RefSeq, a predicted model, not a curated record
AUUUACAACACAAUGCUGGGUUACAUAGCUACCUGUGACAAAUUCCUGCGAUACAACAAAAGGGAGGUCUCCAGCCAGCCAAUUCCCAGGGCAUGCAGAAAUAGGAAACCUACUACUGACGCAUGCCUACAGCAUUCAGAAGAGGAAUCUAUUGUUUCCCUGCUUACAUACUAAGUGAGUGCUGAGAGCAGGAAGUGGGCUCUGAGAUGCCUCUGCUAACUUCUGUACCUGUGCCUGGCACCAUCACCAGCUGGUUGGUAACUUCUGCCAGAGUGUGACGUCUCUUCCCACAGCGAGUUGCUUGGAGGGCUGCAAAUGCCUGUGCAGGGUCAUCUUCUGACUCGCCUUCUGUCUCUAUUCCUUCAUCGAUAGAAGUCUCCAUCAUGCUGGUAGGCAGUGACUGGCAUCCUUUCCUAAUCACCACAGGAGGUACAGGAUCGAGCAGGCAGCCAUUUACCUAAAUGCCACAAGGAGAAGACAGACAGCUUUCAGUUACUGGCACACAGCACUUCCCUGCAGUGUAAGAAACCUCUGCCUGUUGUACAGACUGAAGGCAACCUGGACUCUUCAAAUGUGUGAACAUCCCAAUAAUCUACUGAGAUCAGACAAGAAUGAACCUGGGAGAUGGUUACAGAUGAUUUUAUGUAAAAAUAUUGAUGAACUGUUCCUGAAUUUUCUCCAAAGUUCUCUGGUAUUUUGAAAACAAGUGUAUUUGGAAGAUGACUUCACUGCACGAACAGUAGCUGUUUAACAAAUGGUCCUACAAGCAGACUAUAUGGCACUGCUCUAAGAAAACAUUUAGAGCAGCAUCGAGAAAUAGCUGUAAAUAUUUGCUGCUUCAAGUAUAAUGACGAUGCUUGCACAGAAAAAUUCUGGAUCUGGUGCCUCUCUUUUAAAUUGAUGAAUCAUAUCUUUAAGCCUAGGUUCCUGCGCACUUUCCUUCCUAUUUGUGACUUUCUCAUUCAAAUGCAUUCCACUGAUGUGGCAGCAAAAGCACUAGAAAGAAUAUUUAGUGAACUACUGGAAAGGAAAAAAGAGAGCCAGUAUCACAUGGGCAGGCAGCUCUCUACAGUUUAUCAUGGCACAUGGAACAAAGCUUGGAAGUCUUUCGCAGACACCUUCCAUAAUACUUAGCCACUGAAAUAUUCCCAAGGCAAUUGUGAUUUGAUGCCUCACAGUAGUCACCAUUUGUUGAUUUACUCACUCAAACUGCACCUAGAAAAGGAAAAAACUGGAAGGGGAGUGUGUGUAUGCAAAAUAAAGUUUGUAAUGUUAAGUUCCAAAUUUCUCCUAACUGCUUUUUGCUUUCCAGUUGUAAGGGACCACACAAGGAUUUACUUAAAACAAUGAUGAGAGAUGGGGCCACACUCUUAGCGUCAGUAACUAACCAAUAAAUGAGGUAUAAAACCUU